RNAcentral lists this ribosomal RNA (496 nucleotides) under uncultured bacterium. Its description in RNAcentral is "partial 16S ribosomal RNA". It matches the Rfam family "Bacterial small subunit ribosomal RNA", at positions 28 to 507 of the family's 1533-position model. The record is from RNAcentral.
GAUGAACGCUGGCGGCGUGCCUAAUACAUGCAAGUCGAGCGCUGAGACGUGAAGCUUGUACCGAUUGGAUUAGCAGCGGACGGGUGAGUAACGCGUGGGUAAUCUGCCUUUGAGCCGGGGACAACAUCUGGAAACGAAUGCUAAUACCGCAUAAUAACUUUAACCACAAGUUUCAAGUGUGAAAGAUGCAAUUGCAGCACCCAAAGAUGAUCCCGCGUUGUAUUAGCUAGUUGGGAAGGUAAAGGCUCACCAAGGCGAAGAUACAUAGCCGGCCUGAGAGGUUGACCGGCCACACGGGAACGGGGACACGGUCCAGACUCCUACGGGAGGCAGCAGUGGGGAAUCUUGGCCAAUGGGCGAAAGCCUGACGGAGCAAGCCCGCGUGGGGGAGGAAGUUCUCCGGUUGGUAAACCCCGUUUGUUGGGAAAGAAGAUAUGUAGAGUUAAAAGCUCAUCAAGUGACGGUAACUAAUCAGAAAGCGACGGCUAACUACGUG